Molecule: transfer RNA, 63 nt
Filed under: Platynereis massiliensis
Lineage: Eukaryota; Metazoa; Annelida; Polychaeta; Phyllodocida; Nereididae
Description: tRNA-Ala
Source: RNAcentral
GGCUAUAUAGCCUAAACAAGGCAUUUGAAUUGCAAUCAAACCAUGUAUUAAAUACUAUAGCCG